AUGAUGUGUGGGCGACCUCGCCCGAACCGUGAGGAUUUUGCCGAGUGCUGA
This 51-nucleotide small nucleolar RNA is filed under the name Pyrobaculum oguniense TE7. RNAcentral's name for it is "POGsR38". The record is from RNAcentral. Lineage: Archaea; Thermoproteati; Thermoproteota; Thermoprotei; Thermoproteales; Thermoproteaceae.